Molecule: ribosomal RNA, 571 nt
Filed under: Priestia flexa
Lineage: Bacteria; Bacillati; Bacillota; Bacilli; Caryophanales; Bacillaceae
Description: bacterial SSU rRNA
Rfam family: Bacterial small subunit ribosomal RNA
Source: RNAcentral
UUAGAGCUUGCUUCCAAAAAGUUGCGGCGGACGGGUGAGUAACACGUGGGCAACCUGCCUGUAAGACUGGGAUAACUCCGGGAAACCGGAGCUAAUACCGGAUAACAUUUUCUCUUGCAUAAGAGAAAUUGAAGAUGGUUUCGGCUAUCACUUACAGAUGGGCGUGAUGCAUUAGCUAGUUGGUGAGGUAACGGCUCACCAAGGCAACGAUGCAUAGCCGACCUGAGAGGGUGAUCGGCCACACUGGGACUGAGACACGGCCCAGACUCCUACGGGAGGCAGCAGUAGGGAAUCUUCCGCAAUGGACGAAAGUCUGACGGAGCAACGCCGCGUGAGUGAUGAAGGCUUUCGGGUCGUAAAACUCUGUUGUUAGGGAAGAACAAGUACAAGAGUAACUGCUUGUACCUUGACGGUACCUAACCAGAAAGCCACGGCUAACUACGUGCCAGCAGCCGCGGUAAUACGUAGGUGGCAAGCGUUAUCCGGAAUUAUUGGGCGUAAAGCGCGCGCAGGCGGUUUCUUAAGUCUGAUGUGAAAGCNCACGGCUCAACCGUGGGAGGGUCAUUGGAAA